CUGACUGACCCUGGCAACGACCCUGGCGAGUAUUAAGACCACCCACCACCUGACUGACUGACCCUGGCAACGACCCCUGGCGAGUAUUAAGACCACCCACCACCACCUGACUGACUGACUGACCCUGGCAACGACCCUGGCGAGUAUUAAGACCACCCACCACCCACCUGACUGACUGACUGACCCUGGCAACGACCCUGGCGAGUAUUAAGACCACCCACCACCUGACUGACUGACUGACUGACUCUGGCAACGACCCUGGCGAGUAUUAAGACCACUCCACCACCUGACUGACCCUGGCAAGUCUUCGGGCUACCAAUCUGAUUGAUCCACCAACUCUGGGGAGCAGGGGAGGUGAGUGUGCAGCACCUCCCUACCAUUCCCAGUGACUCUGACCACCCUGGCGAGUCAGUCCCUGACUGACUGACCCUGGCAAGUCUUCGGGCUACCAACCUGACUGAUCCACCAACUCUGGGGAGCAGGGGAGGUGAAGUUGCCAGGGUCAGUCAGGUGUGCAGCACCUCCCUACCAUCAGACUGACCCUGACAACUUCAAGACCAGAUCAGGGUCUUAUCAGGUCAGGGUCUUGAAGUUUGUCAGGGUCAGACUGAUUGGUGGUCAGGGUCAGACUGGGAAUGGUAAGUAGGUGCUGCACACCUGGUGCUGACCCUGGCAACUUCAAGACCCUUGACCACCAAUCUGACUGACCCUGGCAACUUCAACUUCUGGGGAGCAGGGGAGGUGAGUGUGCAGCAGCACCUCCCUACCAUUCCCAGUCUGAUUGACCAUCAACCUGACUCUGAUUCAUCCUGGCAACUUCAAAGACCACCAAUUCUGGGGAGCAGGGGAGGUGAGUGUGCAGCACCUCCCUACCAUUCCCAGUCUGACCCUAACCAACCUGACUGACCCUGGCAACUUCAAGACCCUGACUGACCCUCGGCAACUUCAACUUCUGGGGAGCAGGGGAGGUGAGUGUGCAGCACCUCCCUACCACUCUGACCGCCAACCUGACUUAUCCUGGAAACUACAACAAGAAAUAAAAAUAAAAAAUAAAAAAUAAAAAAUAGUGGUAGGAUGGAACGGACUCAGUUCUACCAUUCGUUUCAACCAGUACUACCAUUCUUAUGUGCACACGCA
Molecule: long non-coding RNA, 1137 nt
Organism: Scylla paramamosain (green mud crab)
Lineage: Eukaryota; Metazoa; Arthropoda; Malacostraca; Decapoda; Portunidae
Exons: 2
Source: RefSeq, a predicted model, not a curated record